UGAGGAAUAUUGGUCAAUGGGCGAGAGCCUGAACCAGCCAAGUAGCGUGCAGGAUGACGGCCCUAUGGGUUGUAAACUGCUUUUAUAUGGGAAUAAAGUGAGGGACGUGUCCCUUAUUGCAUGUACCAUAUGAAUAAGGACCGGCUAAUUCCGUGCCAGCAGCCGCGGUAAUACGGAAGGUUCGGGCGUUAUCCGGAUUUAUUGGGUUUAAAGGGAGCGUAGGCCGUUUGGUAAGCGUGUUGUGAAAUGUAGGAGCUCAACUUCUAGAUUGCAGCGCGAACUGUCAGACUUGAGUGCGCACAACGUAGGCGGAAUUCAUGGUGUAGCGGUGAAAUGCUUAGAUAUCAUGAAGAACUCCGAUUGCGAAGGCAGCUUACGGGAGCGCAACUGACGCUGAAGCUCGAAGGUGCGGGUAUCGAACAGG
Molecule: ribosomal RNA, 424 nt
Filed under: Verrucomicrobiota bacterium
Lineage: Bacteria; Pseudomonadati; Verrucomicrobiota
Description: Verrucomicrobia bacterium partial 16S ribosomal RNA
Rfam family: Bacterial small subunit ribosomal RNA
Source: RNAcentral